GCCGGAAGGAACUUGCUCCGGAUGUUAGCGGCGGACGGGUGAGUAACACGUGGGUAACCUGCCUGUAAGACUGGGAUAACUCCGGGAAACCGGAGCUAAUACCGGAUAGUUCCUUGAACCGCAUGGUUCAAGGAUGAAAGACGGUUUCGGCUGUCACUUACAGAUGGACCCGCGGCGCAUUAGCUAGUUGGUGGGGUAAUGGCUCACCAAGGCGACGAUGCGUAGCCGACCUGAGAGGGUGAUCGGCCACACUGGGACUGAGACACGGCCCAGACUCCUACGGGAGGCAGCAGUAGGGAAUCUUCCGCAAUGGACGAAAGUCUGACGGAGCAACGCCGCGUGAGUGAUGAAGGUUUUCGGAUCGUAAAGCUCUGUUGUUAGGGAAGAACAAGUGCGAGAGUAACUGCUCGCACCUUGACGGUACCUAACCAGAAAGCCACGGCUAACUACGUGCCAGCAGCCGCGGUAAUACGUAGGUGGCAAGCGUUGUCCGGAAUUAUUGGGCGUAAAGGGCUCGCAGGCGGUUUCUUAAGUCUGAUGUGAAAGCCCCCGGCUCAACCGGGGAGGGUCAUUGGAAACUGGGAAACUUGAGUGCAGAAGAGGGAGAGUGGAAUUCCACGUGUAGCGGUGAAAUGCGUAGAGAUGUGGAGGAACACCAGUGGCGAAGGCGACUCUCUGGUCUGUAACUGACGCUGAGGAGCGAAAGCGUGGGGAGCGAACAGGAUUAGAUACCCUGGUAGUCCACGCCGUAAACGAUGAGUGCUAAGUGUUAGGGGGUUUCCGCCCCUUUAGUGCUGCAGCUAAACGCAUUAAGCACUCCCGCCUGGGGAAGUACGGUCGCAAGACUGAAACUCUAANGGAAUUUGACGGGGGCCCGCACANGCCGGUGGGAGCAUGUGGUUUAAUUCGAAGCAACGCGAAGAACCUUACCAGGUCUUGACAUCCUCUGACAACCCUAGAGAUAGGGCUUUCCCUUCGGGGACAGAGUGACAGGUGGUGCAUGGUUGUCGUCAGCUCGUGUCGUGAGAUGUUGGGUUAAGUCCCGCAACGAGCGCAACCCUUGAUCUUAGUUGCCAGCAUUUAGUUGGGCACUCUAAGGUGACUGCCGGUGACAAACCGGAGGAAGGUGGGGAUGACGUCAAAUCAUCAUGCCCCUUAUGACCUGGGCUACACACGUGCUACAAUGGACAGAACAAAGGGCUGCGAGACCGCAAGGUUUAGCCAAUCCCAUAAAUCUGUUCUCAGUUCGGAUCGCAGUCUGCAACUCGACUGCGUGAAGCCUGGAAUCGCUAGUAAUCGCGGAUCAAGGAUGUCCGCGUGGGCUCG
This 1326-nucleotide ribosomal RNA is filed under the name Bacillus safensis. Its description in RNAcentral is "bacterial SSU rRNA". It matches the Rfam family "Bacterial small subunit ribosomal RNA", at positions 68 to 1370 of the family's 1533-position model. The record is from RNAcentral. Lineage: Bacteria; Bacillati; Bacillota; Bacilli; Caryophanales; Bacillaceae.